GACGAACGCUGGCGGCGUGGAUUAGGCAUGCAAGUCGAACGGUAGGAUACCUUCGGGUAUCUGAGAGUGGCGAACGGGUGAGUAACACGUAGGUGAUCUACCCUCAAGAUUGGGACAACCCAGGGAAACUUGGGCUAAUACCGGAUGAAAGCAGCAGUGAUGUUGUUUGAAAGGUGGCGUAAGCUGCCGUUUGGGGAUGAGCCUGCGCUCUAUUAGUUAGUUGGCGGGGUAAGGCCCACCAAGGCGAUGAUAGAUAGGCGGCCUUAACGGGUGGUCGCCCACACUGGGAUUGAGAUACGGCCCAGACUCCUACGGGAGGCAGCAGUCGAGAAUAGUCUACAAUGGCCGAAAGGCUGAUAGUGCGACGCCGCGUGAACGAAGAAGCCCUUCGGGUGUAAGUUACUUUUAUAUGUGAGCAGUGCUUUCUAUGUGAACAGCAUGGGGAGAGAGAUAUUAGCAUAUGAAUAAGCAACGGCUAACUCUGUGCCAGC
Molecule: ribosomal RNA, 491 nt
Filed under: uncultured bacterium
Lineage: Bacteria
Description: bacterial SSU rRNA
Rfam family: Bacterial small subunit ribosomal RNA
Source: RNAcentral